UGCCCCCCUGGCAAUGGGCAAAGAGACACCUCAAUGGUGGUGUUGCUCUUAUAUCAGUAAGGGGCAGAGUAGAACACAGUCCUUUGUUCAUCCUAGCUUGAUGCCUGUGUUGGUGGCCAGAGCUAUUUCAUGCCUAGGGCACAUAA
This 146-nucleotide small nucleolar RNA is filed under the name Sciurus vulgaris (Eurasian red squirrel). RNAcentral describes it as "Small nucleolar RNA SNORA48 (ENSSVLG00005003474.1)". It matches the Rfam family "Small nucleolar RNA SNORA48". Rfam says of the family: The snoRNA ACA 48 has been identified to guide pseudouridylation of the residue U3797 in the 28S rRNA subunit. The record is from Rfam by way of RNAcentral. Lineage: Eukaryota; Metazoa; Chordata; Mammalia; Rodentia; Sciuridae.